RNAcentral lists this ribosomal RNA (559 nucleotides) under Filobasidium oeirense. RNAcentral's name for it is "eukaryotic LSU rRNA". It matches the Rfam family "Eukaryotic large subunit ribosomal RNA", at positions 111 to 656 of the family's 3401-position model. Lineage: Eukaryota; Fungi; Basidiomycota; Tremellomycetes; Filobasidiales; Filobasidiaceae. The record is from RNAcentral.
AAAUUUGAAAUCUGGUGGCCUCAGGUCAUCCGAGUUGUAAUCUAUAGAAGUGUUUUCCGUGCUGGCUCAUGUACAAGUCCCUUGGAACAGGGCGUCAUAGAGGGUGAGAAUCCCGUCCUUGACAUGAACUACCAGUGCUCUGUGAUACAUUUUCAACGAGUCGAGUUGUUUGGGAAUGCAGCUCAAAAUGGGUGGUAAAUUCCAUCUAAAGCUAAAUAUUGGCGAGAGACCGAUAGCGAACAAGUACCGUGAGGGAAAGAUGAAAAGCACUUUGGAAAGAGAGUUAAACAGUAUGUGAAAUUGUUGAAAGGGAAACGAUUGAAGUCAGUCGUGCUCUUUGGAUUCAGCCGGUUCUGCCGGUGUACUUCCUUUGAGUGGGGUCAACAUCAGUUUUGAUCGCUGGAUAAAGGCAGGAGGAACGUAGUACCCUCGGGUAAACUUAUAGCCUCUUGUCACAUACAGUGGUUGGGACUGAGGAACGCAGCACGCCUUUAUGGCCGGGAUUCGUCCACGUACGUGCUUAGGAUGUUGACAUAAUGGCUUUAAACGACCCGUCUUG